Molecule: long non-coding RNA, 577 nt
Organism: Lepus europaeus (European hare)
Lineage: Eukaryota; Metazoa; Chordata; Mammalia; Lagomorpha; Leporidae
Exons: 3
Source: RefSeq, a predicted model, not a curated record
AGACGGGAGGCUGCAGUCCGGCUUAAGACGAUCCUGGAAGGUCUCUGGACAUGACCUUGGGGUGAGGACGUGGAGACACCUGAGUCAGCCACCAGCUUUUGGCCAUUGAAGAAAGAUGUCCUCGGUCCAGGUACGGCUCGUCCACCUCGCUGAGCGUGCAGACAGCUCUCCGGGGCGGCUGCUGCUGCCGCGAGCGUGUCAGGGCCCGGCUGCCCCGUGGCGCAUUCACCGUCAUCGGUCACGAGCUGGCAUUGUGGACAAGCAAUGGCUAGUGCAGAUAAAGCUGCUGUGGACAUCCUUCUCCAGUUCACUCCCUACCAUUUAGAAAGAGCCUGGAAACAAAGCCUUGGAAACACACACAGACCUCGGUUCACUGAAUCAGAGUAAAAGUUGAGUUUAUUUUGGCACAAAAAGCUUUUGAAAUCCAUGUGUGGUCUUUUCACAAUCGGCACUUUCCACUUUUCUGAAGACCGCUCACUUAUGACAAUUCAUCAUCUCCAAUCUUUAUACCUUUUGUUUCUUGAUUUUGCUUUAUUGGCUUGUUGCAUUGGCUAGGCACUCUCAGUCCACUGUGGAG